This 429-nucleotide ribosomal RNA is filed under the name uncultured Gemmatimonadota bacterium. RNAcentral describes it as "bacterial SSU rRNA". It matches the Rfam family "Bacterial small subunit ribosomal RNA", at positions 335 to 763 of the family's 1533-position model. The record is from RNAcentral. Lineage: Bacteria; Pseudomonadati; Gemmatimonadota.
AGUCCUACGGGAGGCAGCAGUGGGGAAUCUUGCGCAAUGGGCGAAAGCCUGACGCAGCGACGCCGCGUGGGGGAUGACGGCCUUCGGGUUGUAAACCCCUGUUGCCCGGGACGAACAUCAUCUUUCGACAGGACUGACGGUACCGGGUGAGGAAGCACCGGCUAACUAUGUGCCAGCAGCCGCGGUAAUACAGAGGGUGCGAGCGUUGUCCGGAAUCACUGGGCGUAAAGGGCGCGUAGGUGGCGACGUCAGCGGGCGGUGAAAGCUCGAGGCUCAACCUCGAGUCGGCCGUGCGAACUGCCGUCGCUCGAGCAGAGUAGAGGCAGGUGGAAUUCCGGGUGUAGCGGUGGAAUGCGUAGAGAUCCGGAGGAACACCGGUUUCGAAGGCGGCCUGCUCGGCGCUGGCAGACCCUCCGCGGCCCCAGCCCG